Molecule: ribosomal RNA, 429 nt
Filed under: Chloroflexota bacterium
Lineage: Bacteria; Bacillati; Chloroflexota
Description: Chloroflexi bacterium partial 16S ribosomal RNA
Rfam family: Bacterial small subunit ribosomal RNA
Source: RNAcentral
UGGGGAAUAUUGCACAAUGGGCGCAAGCCUGAUGCAGCCAUGCCGCGUGUAUGAAGAAGGCCUUCGGGUUGUAAAGUACUUUCAGCGGGGAGGAAGGGAGUAAAGUUAAUACCUUUGCUCAUUGACGUUACCCGCAGAAGAAGCACCGGCUAACUCCGUGCCAGCAGCCGCGGUAAUACGGAGGGUGCAAGCGUUAAUCGGAAUUACUGGGCGUAAAGCGCACGCAGGCGGUUUGUUAAGUCAGAUGUGAAAUCCUCGGGCUCAACCUGGGAACUGCAUCUGAUACUGGCCAGCUUGAGUCUCGUAGAGGGGGGUAGAAUUCCAGGUGUAGCGGUGAAAUGCGUAGAGAUCUGGAGGAAUACCGGUGGCGAAGGCGGCCCCCUGGACGAAGACUGACGCUCAGGUGCGAAAGCGUGGGGAGCAAACAGG